RNAcentral lists this ribosomal RNA (468 nucleotides) under uncultured bacterium. RNAcentral describes it as "partial 16S ribosomal RNA". It matches the Rfam family "Bacterial small subunit ribosomal RNA", at positions 28 to 507 of the family's 1533-position model. The record is from RNAcentral.
GACGAACGCUGGCGGCGUGCUUAACACAUGCAAGUCGAACGGAAAGGCCCUGCUUUUGUGGGUUGCUCGAUUGGCGAACGGGUGAGUAACACGUGAGUAACCUCCCCUUGACUUUGGGAUAACUUCAGGAAACUGGGGCUAUUACCGGAUAGGAUCUCCUGCUCCAUGUUGGGGGUUGGAAAGUUUCGGCGGUUGGGGAUGGACUCGCGGCUUAUCAGCUUGUUGGUGGGGUAGUGGCUUACCAGGGCUUUGACGGGUAGCCGGCCUGAGAGGGUGACCGGCCACAUUGGGACUGAGAUACGGCCCAGACUCCUACGGGAGGCAGCAGUGGGGAAUAUUGCACAAUGGGCGGAAGCCUGAUGCAGCAACGCUGCGUGCGGGAUGACGGCCUUCGGGUUGUAAACCGCUUUCGCCUGUGACGAAGCGUGAGUGACGGUAAUGGGUAAAGAAGCACCGGCUAACUACGUG